Molecule: ribosomal RNA, 432 nt
Filed under: uncultured bacterium
Lineage: Bacteria
Description: partial 16S ribosomal RNA
Rfam family: Bacterial small subunit ribosomal RNA
Source: RNAcentral
AACGAACGCUGGCGGCAUGCCUAACACAUGCAAGUCGAACGAGACCUUCGGGUCUAGUGGCGCACGGGUGCGUAACGCGUGGGAACCUGCCUUUAGGUUCGGGAUAACUCAGAGAAAUUUGAGCUAAUACCGGAUGAUGUCUUCGGACCAAAGAUUUAUCGCCUUUAGAUGGGCCCGCGUUGGAUUAGCUAGUUGGUGGGGUAAAGGCCUACCAAGGCGACGAUCCAUAGCUGGUCUGAGAGGAUGAUCAGCCACACUGGGACUGAGACACGGCCCAGACUCCUACGGGAGGCAGCAGUGGGGAAUAUUGGACAAUGGGCGAAAGCCUGAUCCAGCAAUGCCGCGUGAGUGAUGAAGGCCUUAGGGUUGUAAAGCUCUUUUACCCGAGAUGAUAAUGACAGUAUCGGGAGAAUAAGCUCCGCUAACUCCGUG